AUUGAACGCUGGCGGCAUGCCUUACACAUGCAAGUCGAACGGUAACGGGUCUUCGGAUGCUGACGAGUGGCGAACGGGUGAGUAAUACAUCGGAACGUGCCUAGUAGUGGGGGAUAACUACUCGAAAGAGUGGCUAAUACCGCAUGAGAUCUACGGAUGAAAGCAGGGGAUCGCAAGACCUUGUGCUACUAGAGCGGCCGAUGGCAGAUUAGGUAGUUGGUGGGAUAAAAGCUUACCAAGCCGAAGAUCUGUAUCUGGUCUGAGAGGACGAUCAGCAACACUGGGACUGAGACACGGCCCAGACUCCUACGGGAGGCAGCAGUGGGGAAUUUUGGAUAAUGGGCGAAAGCCUGAUCCAGCAAUGCCGCGUGCAGGAUGAAGGCCUUCGGGUUGUAAACUGCUUUUGUACGGAACGAAAAGCCCCGGGUUAAUACCCUGGGGUCAUGACGGUACCGUAAGAAUAAGCACCGGCUAACUACGUGCCAGCAGCCGCCGUAA
RNAcentral lists this ribosomal RNA (498 nucleotides) under uncultured bacterium. Its description in RNAcentral is "partial 16S ribosomal RNA". It matches the Rfam family "Bacterial small subunit ribosomal RNA", at positions 30 to 523 of the family's 1533-position model. The record is from RNAcentral.